Molecule: ribosomal RNA, 357 nt
Filed under: Triticum aestivum (bread wheat)
Lineage: Eukaryota; Viridiplantae; Streptophyta; Magnoliopsida; Poales; Poaceae
Description: partial small subunit ribosomal RNA
Source: RNAcentral
AUGAUUGAUCAAAAUCUAAGUAUCCUAAACUGGAAUGUUCGUGGAUUGAACUGCCCCAACCGCCGCUCGACCAUCCAAGAGACCAUCGCUGCCACGCCUUGCCAUUUAGUCUGUUUGCAGGAGACCAAGCUCGAACAGAUCGAUCUCUUCAUGGCUUCCUCACUCGGUGGUCUGAGGCUCAAAAGUUUUGCGCAAUGACCCGCCAUUGGUUCUCGUGGUGGCAUCCUGUUGUUGUGGGACGAAAACUUCAUCGAGGUUAAGGACAUUAGCACUGGAUCUUUUUUCAUGUCCGCUACAAUCACCAUUUCAUGUAACAACACUUAUUUCAAGUUCACAACCGUCUAUGGGCCAAUCUGA